CCCUUAGAUGUCCUGGGCCGCACGCGCGCUACACUGAGUGUCUGAGAUACGAGUCUGCCUGGUCCGGCAAGGUCUAGGUAAUCGCUAAAAGACACAUCAUGCUUGGGAUAGAUUAUUGCAAAUAUUAAUCUUCAACGAGGAAUUCCUAGUAAGCGCGAGUCAUCAGCUCGUGCUGAUUACGUCCCUGCCCUUUGUACACACCGCCCGUCGCUCCUACCGAUUGAGUGCUCAGGUGAAUAAUUCGGACUGCAGCAAUGUUUGGAUCCCGAACGUUGCAGCGGAAAGUUUAGUGAACCUUAUCACUUAGAGGAAGGAGAAGUCGUAACA
Molecule: ribosomal RNA, 327 nt
Filed under: uncultured eukaryote
Lineage: Eukaryota
Description: partial 18S ribosomal RNA
Rfam family: Eukaryotic small subunit ribosomal RNA
Source: RNAcentral